Molecule: ribosomal RNA, 1534 nt
Filed under: Salmonella enterica subsp. enterica serovar Heidelberg str. SL476
Lineage: Bacteria; Pseudomonadati; Pseudomonadota; Gammaproteobacteria; Enterobacterales; Enterobacteriaceae
Description: bacterial SSU rRNA
Rfam family: Bacterial small subunit ribosomal RNA
Source: RNAcentral
AGAGUUUGAUCAUGGCUCAGAUUGAACGCUGGCGGCAGGCCUAACACAUGCAAGUCGAACGGUAACAGGAAGCAGCUUGCUGCUUCGCUGACGAGUGGCGGACGGGUGAGUAAUGUCUGGGAAACUGCCUGAUGGAGGGGGAUAACUACUGGAAACGGUGGCUAAUACCGCAUAACGUCGCAAGACCAAAGAGGGGGACCUUCGGGCCUCUUGCCAUCAGAUGUGCCCAGAUGGGAUUAGCUAGUUGGUGAGGUAACGGCUCACCAAGGCGACGAUCCCUAGCUGGUCUGAGAGGAUGACCAGCCACACUGGAACUGAGACACGGUCCAGACUCCUACGGGAGGCAGCAGUGGGGAAUAUUGCACAAUGGGCGCAAGCCUGAUGCAGCCAUGCCGCGUGUAUGAAGAAGGCCUUCGGGUUGUAAAGUACUUUCAGCGGGGAGGAAGGUGUUGUGGUUAAUAACCACAGCAAUUGACGUUACCCGCAGAAGAAGCACCGGCUAACUCCGUGCCAGCAGCCGCGGUAAUACGGAGGGUGCAAGCGUUAAUCGGAAUUACUGGGCGUAAAGCGCACGCAGGCGGUCUGUCAAGUCGGAUGUGAAAUCCCCGGGCUCAACCUGGGAACUGCAUUCGAAACUGGCAGGCUUGAGUCUUGUAGAGGGGGGUAGAAUUCCAGGUGUAGCGGUGAAAUGCGUAGAGAUCUGGAGGAAUACCGGUGGCGAAGGCGGCCCCCUGGACAAAGACUGACGCUCAGGUGCGAAAGCGUGGGGAGCAAACAGGAUUAGAUACCCUGGUAGUCCACGCCGUAAACGAUGUCUACUUGGAGGUUGUGCCCUUGAGGCGUGGCUUCCGGAGCUAACGCGUUAAGUAGACCGCCUGGGGAGUACGGCCGCAAGGUUAAAACUCAAAUGAAUUGACGGGGGCCCGCACAAGCGGUGGAGCAUGUGGUUUAAUUCGAUGCAACGCGAAGAACCUUACCUGGUCUUGACAUCCACGGAAGUUUUCAGAGAUGAGAAUGUGCCUUCGGGAACCGUGAGACAGGUGCUGCAUGGCUGUCGUCAGCUCGUGUUGUGAAAUGUUGGGUUAAGUCCCGCAACGAGCGCAACCCUUAUCCUUUGUUGCCAGCGGUUAGGCCGGGAACUCAAAGGAGACUGCCAGUGAUAAACUGGAGGAAGGUGGGGAUGACGUCAAGUCAUCAUGGCCCUUACGACCAGGGCUACACACGUGCUACAAUGGCGCAUACAAAGAGAAGCGACCUCGCGAGAGCAAGCGGACCUCAUAAAGUGCGUCGUAGUCCGGAUUGGAGUCUGCAACUCGACUCCAUGAAGUCGGAAUCGCUAGUAAUCGUGGAUCAGAAUGCCACGGUGAAUACGUUCCCGGGCCUUGUACACACCGCCCGUCACACCAUGGGAGUGGGUUGCAAAAGAAGUAGGUAGCUUAACCUUCGGGAGGGCGCUUACCACUUUGUGAUUCAUGACUGGGGUGAAGUCGUAACAAGGUAACCGUAGGGGAACCUGCGGUUGGAUCACCUCCUU